CCCGCUGAACUUAAGCAUAUCAAUAAGCGGAGGAAAAGAAACUAACAAGGAUUCCCUCAGUAACGGCGAGUGAAGCGGGAAGAGCUCAAAUUUAAAAUCUGGCUUACUUGUAAGUCCGAGUUGUAGUCUGAAGAAACGUUUUCCAUAAGCACUGAGGCACAAGUCCCUUGGAACAGGGCAUCAUAGAGGGUGAGAAUCCCGUCCAUGGUCUCAAGUUGCUUAUUUUGUGAUACGUUUUCAAAGAGUCAGGUUGUUUGGGAAUGCAGCCUAAAAUGGGUGGUAAAUUUCAUCUAAAGCUAAAUAUUGGCGAGAGACCGAUAGCGAACAAGUACCGUGAGGGAAAGAUGAAAAGAACUUUGGAAAGAGAGUUAAACAGUACGUGAAAUUGCUGAAAGGGAAACGCUUGAAGUCAGUCACGUUGACUCGGAAUCAGCUCUGCUUUUGCUGGGUGUACUUUCUUGUCAAUGGGUCAGCAUCAAUUUUGACCAUUGGAUAAAGUUGCUGGGAAUGUAGCAUCCUUUUGGAUGUGUUAUAGCCUGGUGAUGCAUACAGUGGUUGGGAUUGAGGAAUUCAGCACGCCACCAGGCCGGGUUUCGACCACGUUCGUGCUUAGGAUGCUGGCAUAAUGGCUUUAAUUGACCCGUCUUGAAACACGG
Molecule: ribosomal RNA, 656 nt
Filed under: uncultured fungus
Lineage: Eukaryota; Fungi
Description: eukaryotic LSU rRNA
Rfam family: Eukaryotic large subunit ribosomal RNA
Source: RNAcentral